Molecule: ribosomal RNA, 464 nt
Filed under: uncultured bacterium
Lineage: Bacteria
Description: partial 16S ribosomal RNA
Rfam family: Bacterial small subunit ribosomal RNA
Source: RNAcentral
CUACGGGGUGCAGCAGUGGGGAAUUUUGGACAAUGGGGGCAACCCUGAUCCAGCCAUGCCGCGUGAGUGAAGAAGGCCUUCGGGUUGUAAAGCUCUUUCAGCCGGGAAGAAAUCGCAUGGGUUAAUACCCUGUGCGGAUGACGGUACCGGAAUAAGAAGCACCGGCUAACUACGUGCCAGCAGCCGCGGUAAUACGUAGGGUGCGAGCGUUAAUCGGAAUUACUGGGCGUAAAGCGUGCGCAGGCGGAUGCUUAAGUCAGAUGUGAAAUCCCCGGGCUUAACCUGGGAAUUGCAUUUGAAACUGGGUGUCUAGAGUGCGUCAGAGGGGGGUGGAAUUCCACGUGUAGCAGUGAAAUGCGUAGAGAUGUGGAGGAACACCAAUGGCGAAGGCAGCCCCCUGGGAUGACACUGACGCUCAUGCACGAAAGCGUGGGGAGCAAACAGGAUUAGAUACCCCGGUAGUC